UGAGUAACACGUAGGUAAUGUACCUUUGGGUGGGGAAUAACUUAGGGAAACUUAAGCUAAUACCGCAUAAUGCAGCGGCUCCAUAUGGAGACAGUUGUUAAAGAUUUAUCGCCUAAAGAGCAGCCUGCGGCAGAUUAGCUAGUUGGUAAGGUAACGGCUUACCAAGGCUACGAUCUGUAUCCGACCUGAGAGGGUGGUCGGACACACUGACACUGAAACACGGGCCAG
Molecule: ribosomal RNA, 228 nt
Filed under: uncultured bacterium
Lineage: Bacteria
Description: partial 16S ribosomal RNA
Rfam family: Bacterial small subunit ribosomal RNA
Source: RNAcentral